Molecule: transfer RNA, 71 nt
Filed under: Albugo candida
Lineage: Eukaryota; Oomycota; Peronosporomycetes; Albuginales; Albuginaceae
Rfam family: tRNA
About the family: Transfer RNA (tRNA) molecules are approximately 80 nucleotides in length. Their secondary structure includes four short double-helical elements and three loops (D, anti-codon, and T loops).
Source: Rfam by way of RNAcentral
AACUAGAUAGCAUAAUGGUAAUGUAAAGGACUGCAAAUCCUUUAAUAACGGUUCAAAUCCGUUUCUAGCUA